UACGGAGGGUGCAAGCGUUAUCCGGAAUCAUUGGGUUUAAAGGGUCCGCAGGCGGACUUAUAAGUCAGUGGUGAAAGCCCAUCGCUUAACGAUGGAACUGCCAUUGAUACUGUAAGUCUUGAAUUCGGUCGAAGUGGGCGGAAUAUGUCAUGUAGCGGUGAAAUGCUUAGAUAUGACAUAGAACACCGAUAGCGAAGGCAGCUCACUAGGCCUGGAUUGACGCUCAGGGACGAAAGCGUGGGGAGCAAACAGG
This 253-nucleotide ribosomal RNA is filed under the name uncultured bacterium. Its description in RNAcentral is "partial 16S ribosomal RNA". It matches the Rfam family "Bacterial small subunit ribosomal RNA", at positions 524 to 776 of the family's 1533-position model. The record is from RNAcentral.